GACGAACGCUGGCGGCGUGCUUAACACAUGCAAGUCGAACGGAAAGGCCCUGCUUUUGUGCGGUGCUCGAGUGGCGAACGGGUGAGUAAAACGUGAGUAACCUGCCCUUGUCUUUGGGAUAACUCCACGGAACUGGGGCUAUAACCCCGUAUAAGCUCCUGCUGCAUGGGGUGCGUUGGAGAGAUUCGGCGGUGUGGGCUGGACGCGCGGCUUAUCAGCUUGUUGGUCGGGUAGUGGUUUACCAAGGCUUUGACGGGUAGCCGACAUGAGAGGGUGACCGGCGACAUUGGGACUGCGAUAGGGACCAGAAUGCAAUGGGAGGCAGCAGUGGGGAGUAUUGCACAAUGGGCCGAAGCCAGAUGUAGAGACGCUGCGUGCGGAAUACCGGGUUACGGGUUGUAAACAGAUUUGGAAUGUGACGUACACUGAGUGACGGUAACGGGUCAAGAAGCCCCGGCUAACUACGUG
Molecule: ribosomal RNA, 468 nt
Filed under: uncultured bacterium
Lineage: Bacteria
Description: partial 16S ribosomal RNA
Rfam family: Bacterial small subunit ribosomal RNA
Source: RNAcentral